This 5776-nucleotide long non-coding RNA is filed under the name Homo sapiens (human). RNAcentral describes it as "HSALNT0387359". Lineage: Eukaryota; Metazoa; Chordata; Mammalia; Primates; Hominidae. The record is from RNAcentral.
GUCUGCCAAAGUGCUUGGAUUACUGGUGUGAGCCACCACACCCGGCCAACACCAGCAAUUUCUAUCAUUAGUAGGAGCAAUGAUACUAACAGACUGGCUUACAGGACCGAAUUUUAAAGUAAUCCCCAUAGGCUUCAGUGCAUUUCAAGGCCAGGUACGUGCCAUUCUAAACAACAAGGGCAGCAACUGGGCCAAAUGGAAAGAGUGUGGGUUGAUGGGACUCACUUUCACACUUGAUUCUAUGUACCAUCUUGCAUUUACCUAUACUUGAUCCUGUGUUUUCAGGGAUCUAUCACAACCCCACUGUGAUAAAGGAUGAAAGGAUGGAGAACACAGAUAUGGGAUGGUUUGUAUUAGGUUGGUGCAAAAGUAACUGACAUUACUUUCAAUGGCAAAAACUGCAAUUACUUUUGCUCCAACCUACUAUGUCUUGAAAGCAUUGGGGAGAACCCAGGGUUGCCAAAUUGCAUGAGUUCAGGAAGCUUCAUUCCUUCAGGAAGUUUCCUCUAGGGGGCACCACUCACAGAGCUCCGCACUAUGACCCCAUCCUGGAGUUGGGCCAUCCGGUAGCCGUCCCAACCCAUAGGCUACUGUGCAAGAGCUGAGAAGCCUGCCUGAGAAAACAAACUUCCUGCAUCAGAGCACCAGAAAGCCAAACACUUGAUCUCUAACACCUGUGUUCACUGUGAGAAAAUUUACAACGAGAAGAGAAAGGGCAGCCACAUAGACAUUUCUGGAUCGAUUUCUUUAAAAGUCAUCCCUUUCGUGGCCAUCAAGGAGUCCCAAGACUCCCUCUAAGUUUUCUCUAAUAUCUGUUAAAUCCUUUCCAAAAAAGAAAAAAAAAAACCCAUCAGAAUUAUCUAGGCCUCAGCAUGCUCCUUCCCUUCUAAUUCUUGGCAGUACUAUAAGACAGGCAUUAUAAGGGAACGAUUAAGAAAACAGAUGUAACCAUUAGGCACCAUACAAUUCUAGAGGAUUAAUAAUGUUAACUUUUGCAACACAUAGGUGGUUUUUUGGUGUUUGUUCUUAUAAUGUCCUAUUUACAUCACAUAUUUAAACUUGAGAGCAUAUUAGAAUGAGUUGGGUACAACCUCCUUUUGUUUCUUCACUCUCACAGCUGUUUGAAUGCCUGCUUGUGUGAGGCACUGUGCUAAAUGCGGCGGGGGGUAAAAUGGUGAGGACAAAGCAAAGGAGUCUGUGCUCUCCUGGAGCCCAGAGUCUAGCGUGGUUUAGUUUGGGCUUCCUCACAACAUGGUGGCUUUCAAGCAGACGGACUCCAAAAGCAAGAUUCCCAGCGAACAAGGAGAAAGCUGCAUGGCCUUUUAUGACCUCAUCUCAGAAGUCACACAUCAUUCUACUGGUUACGAGUGAGUCCUUGAUCCACUGAGAUCCAAGAGGAUGAGACAAAGUCCCCAUAUCUCAAUGAAAGAUCGUCAAGGUCACACUGAAGAAGACCAUGUGGGAUGGGAGAGAGACAUAGUGGUCACAUUUGAGAAAGGCCAUCUGACAGAUGGGAGAAGCUGAAAGGGCUGCAGUAAGCAAAUACACUUUGGACGAAAAUUUUUCUUAAGAUCUAUCUUUAGUACACAGAUUUCUAUGAAUUAGCUCCAGUUAUAUUUAUUUUCAACCUUGUCAUUACAGAAGUAACAUAUUUCAAAACACUUGACAGUUUACAAAGUACUCUUAAUUGAUCAUCAUAAUAAGCCUGCUAAUUAUUAGGACAAAAUAUUAUCACCCACACUGUUUAGACAAGAAAACUAAGACCCAAAUUCUCAUAGCCAAAAAAGGAGCAUGUUCAGGAUCUGAGUCCAGAAUUAACUGUUCUUUCUACAGAAACAAACCAUCUAUUGAAACAUGCCAUGGCAAUGAAAAAUCACAAUUUAUGGUCUGAUGGUCUUUGUAUCCUUUUUAGGAUAUAAAGCAUUUGAAUGGUCUAUGGCUUUGAGUGUUAGCUUCAUCAUUUAUAUGAGAAUAUGAAACAGCCAUUGUUGUAAAUAGCAUCCAUUAUGGACUGAACAUAAAGACUAUUUCCAAAUUGCUUCCAACAUUUUUUGUCCUAUCUCUGCAAAUAAUUAAGGGUUAGCAACUUUAAAAUUAAUUCUAGUAGAAGAGCUAUGCAUCUGGCUUAAUGGGCACAAUAAAUCAAUCCCAUGAGAUAAAAUCUAUUUUAAGAACUCUUCUGAAAAGGUGCUAUUUCAAAGAAGGCAUUGUAUUAUUUUCUCUCUCUUUGGAGCAGCAGUCCAAGCUCUCAUAUUCCAACCUCUGAGCAACUUUUAGCAUCAACUGUGAACAUGUUAGAAGUACAAAAAAGCAUAAUCUCAGGCCCCAUAUUCCAGGUCUACUGCCAUGAAUUGAAUGGUGGCUCCCUAAAAGAUACCUCUAUGUCCUUAUCCCUGGAACCUGUGCAUGAAUCUUAUUUGGAAAAUAAGUGGGGGUGUGUCUUUGCAGAUGUAAUGAAGAAUCUCAAGAUGAGAUGAGACCAUCCUGGAUUAUCUAGGAAGGUCCUAAAUCCAAUAGCAAAUGUCUUUGUAACAGAAAGGCAGAGGGACAUUUGAGAAAGAGAAGAGGAGGAGGCCACGUAAAAACAAAGGCAGAGAUGAAAAUGAUGCAGCUGAGGCCAUGGAAUCCCUGGAGCCACCAGGAGCUGGAAGAGGCAAGGAAGGAUCCUCCCCUGGAGCCUUUAAAGGGAGCAUGCCUUGGCAACACCUUGAUUUUGGCUUCUGGCUUCCAGAAGCUAGAGAAUAAGUUUCUGUUGCUUUAAACAUCAACAUUACAGUGAUUUGUUAUGGCAGCCCUAGGAAAUUAAUAUACCUAACUGAGUUAGAAACCAGGGUAGUACGCCUAGCAAUGAGUACUUAAACAAAUCCUCCUGGGGAUUCUGCUGUACACUCAAGCUUCGGAUACACUGGUCUAGAGUAAUUGAAUUGUGGCUGGCUGAAGACAUGGGUAUUUUUUCCCCAGGACAGCAGAAGCCUCCCCUGCACCUGCAAAUAGACCAGUGCAGGCAUUGAACAUCUGGGGCAAGACUAGCGUCUCCCAGCAGGUAAGUAAAUUGUUCCAGGUCAGUUCUCUAUAGCUUUCUCUCUGGGGGAUUUCUUCAUUUAUAACAAAUGUUUCUUUAGCUCUAUGAAUAUGGACAGGGCAAACUGCCAGGCACUGCAGUUACAAGUAGGACAAAGAUUAGAUUCUUGCCAUCAAGAGUUCUGCCAAGUCCUGGGAGAAACAGGACAAGGAGAUACAGAGAUAAACAACUCCAUCUUUACUUUCACAUAGGCAUAAUGUCUUUGAAACACACUCCGAUAACUUAUCAAAUAAGCAACUCUUCAAGCUACAAAUGUAUCUCUAACUCAAUUCCUCCUAAGUAUUGGGGUGAUAUCAGAUCAACACCAGCACGCUCUCCUUGCUAAAAUACACGAUGCUGUUUUCCAGUGAAUAAUGCGUCUUUCUUCUCUCCCCCAUGCUCAUCUUCCUUACAGAUUAGUCUGCAUAUCAAGAACAACUAGACCUUAUAAAAGUCACAACAGAGCAGAGGGAUGGUCACCUGUAAAUGCACACUUUCUAGUAUUUUCUCAAAUUAGAGCAUCUGAGGGUAUCUUCAGAGAAAUCAAAUGCACCAAGACAAAAACGUAUGACCUGAAACUGGUCCCGAGGAAACAUCAGAUGGACCACGUUGAGCAUCACACUGCAGAAUGUAGGGCUGCAUUCUUCCAAACUGUUGGGACGAUGAAAGUCAGGGAAAGACUGAGGAAAUGCUCCAAACUGGGGCAGACUGCAAAGAUGUGACAAUUAAAUGCAAUGUGUAACUCGGGGUUUCUGCACUUUAGCUCUUUCAAGAUUUUUGACUGGAUAAUUCUUGGGGUCUGUCUUGCACACUGCACGGUGUCUGGCAUCAUCUCUGGUGUCUAAGCCCUAGAUGUCAAUACCAAUUCCCACUUGUGUGAUCAAAUGUCUCCAGACAUUACCAAAUGUACCAUGGGUGGGGUCAGAGGGGAGUGCAAAGUCAGCUCCAGAUGAGAACCAUUGGUGUAACUGGAUGGAAUCCUGGGCCAGAUAUGAAAAAGAGACAUCACUAGGACAGCUGGACAGAUCUGAGGUUAAUGAAGAUUUCUCACUGUUGCAGAAGGUAUUUUUAAGAAGGGAAAGGUAGGAGGGCUAGAAAAACCCUGAACGGGGUGUGGAGAUUGGACAUUGCAUCAAUGUAUUGAUGCACUGGGUUUUGUUUCAGUGCUCAUUUCUUGACUUGUGGGUUUGCAUGGUGGUUAUGCAGGAGGGUGUACUUGGGGAGGCAGAUAUGAUGGAGCACUGAGGGUUGAAGGGACAUCACAUAGAUACAUACAUAGGGAGAUAGAGUGUACGCAGUGAAAUGUGAAUAGCUGGGGAUCAGCAUGAGGGGGUAUGGAAGUUCUUUGUUCUGUUCGUGCAACUUUUCUGUACAUUUAAAAUAACCCCAGAAUAAAAUAUUUCCAUUAAUUUACCUGAUUAAAUUGUACUUGUGGAUUUAUUUGCACAACCAAUUAAGGAUGAUGGUGGAAAUGGUGGAGAUGCAGAUGAUGCUAGUAUUGGUCAAUGUUCAUUUUUGUCUUCAUUAUGUGCCAGGCAGCAAGCUAAGUACUUUAUGGCUAUUAGUCAGUGCUGUCCUCAAAUCAUCCCUAUGGUGGAGGAAUUAGUAUCCUUCUACUAUAGAUGAAGAAACAGAAGUUCUGAGAAGGUAGGUGACUUACUCACAACCACACAAUAAGUAGCUGGUAGAGUUGGGGUGGAAGCCCAUUCACAUUGGAUUAUGGGACCCAUGCUCUAAGCCGUUAGGUCAUAAGGGAGACUUUUUCGUCGUUCCUGUGUCCACAGAGGUGGAGGAUGAACUAGGCCCUCGGUAAGUGAGGGAAGGAGUGCACAGGCAGAGCUCUGCACAGAAUGACAGCAAGGUGCACAAGUCAUCCAUAUGAUUUUAUACUUGUGAAUUCAAGUAUAAGGAGCAACUUGUUAGACUUCAGUCUGUCUCUAAAAGCCAAAUAUAGGGUGGCAAUGGCUGCAUUCAGUUGAAAAAUACCCUGGAUCUAGUAAAGGAAGGAAGGUGUUUAUCCUCUUGGUACUUUUUUUUUUUUAAUCCCUAAUUUCAGGCAUGUGCAGCUUUGGUUUGGAAUGAUUUGACUCAGAUAGACAAGUGGUGGGUUUAGGUGAGCUUUUUUAGGUGAGAGUGGUUGGAAUUAUAGAGGUGAUAUGGGAGAAGGUGAUGUGAAGGGUAAUUGCUGCUUAAUAAUUGGGAAGAGAAAGUCUGUAAAGAGCUUAUCAUUUAAUGUGUUCAAGACUUGAGAUCCAGAAGAACUGCAUCCCAGGGCUUUGAGGGUUCUUGCUGAUGCGAUCUCGGUGCUAAAAAAUCAUGAACAUGGAUAGGGAACGCACAACACUGAAAGUCACUGUUGGCUUAAGUCAGAGAGGUUUGGAACUCUUAAUGCACAGGCAGGAGAAGCCAGAUGUCAGAAAUCCAGGAAGACAUGAAGGGGCAGGGAAAGGGGGAGUCCACGAUUUCUGGGAAAAUUUCAGGCAGUUAGGAACUGGUGGAGGCUAAAGAGAUGUGCUCACUCCAGAUGGCAAGGAGGGAACAUCAACUUUAGAAAUUAGAAAAAGGUACAUUUGCUAAAAUGUGAAAAAAGCAAGCAACUAUUAAAUAGGUAGUUGUUACCAUCUAUUGAGGACACAAUGAAAUAAUAAGCAUGAAGUACUUAGCAUGUUUCCUGGAACAAGAAAGCAAUAAUUGCAGAAUUUAUUAAAACUUUAA